GAUGCUACUUCCAGUGUAUUGUCUACAUUAAACAAGACAGGUAAUAUCAAGUUAUUACUAAAUGUCAUAGCAUUUCUUCUAUGACUUCUUGAGUUUUUCACUUGUGUGGUCUACGGGUUAGUAAAGAGAAGUUUUCCUUUGCUAACUUUCUUGAGCUUUCAACUAUUAUUAUUCCUUUGACUUUGACAUUGAACUAUAAUUCUGUUGUCAUCACUCUCAAACUUAUGAACUAUUAUGGCAGUAGCACUUCAUUUAAAUAACAUUUAUUAUCACAGUGAUACAUGGUAGCUCAUAAAAAUGGAAAAUAUAGAGAAAUACAAAGAAGGAGGAUAGAAAUCAUCUUUAAUGUUACUUUUCUAAGACUUACUGUUAAAAUUUGGUAUAUUUUCAUUUAGUAUAAUAUAUGCAUGUAUUUAUAUACAUAUAUCUUAUGCAUAUGUCUCUUGCAAAGUACUCAUAGUUUAUGUAGAUUUUUAUAUCUUGCUCUUCUGACCUAAUAUUAAAUUAUAAGUAUUUGCCAAUAUCUCUUGCUUUUAAUGACUUGAUAACAUUCCAUUGUAUACCAUAUGUUGAACACUAAAGUUGUUUCUAUUUUUUUAAUAGAGGUUAUUCCAAUGAACAUCCUGGUGCCAAUACUUUUCAUUCAUCCUUGAUUUCUGUAGGAUACAUUCCAAGGAUUGGACAUAAAGUAUGAAUAUUUUAAGGCCCUUGACACCCACUGUCCAAUUACCUUCCAGAGGGUUGUGUCCAGCAACAUUCCUUGCAGCAGUGGAUGAGGUUAUAUAUGUCACUGUGCCUUUGUUAGGAUUAUAGUAUAUUAUUAAUUUUUCUCUCAAUUACUUAGGUUUUCUUUUCUUUUCUUUCUUUCUUUUUUGGUAGCAGGGGAUUGAACCUAGAGGGCACUUACUCACUGAACCAUAUCCCCAGCCCUGUUUUGUAUUUUGUCUAGACACAGGGUCUCACUGAGUUGCCUAGGGCCUCCCUAAAUUGCUGAGGUUGGCUUUGAUCUCGUGACCCUCCUGCCUCAGCCUCCCAAGCUGCUGGGAUUACAGUAUACCAUUGCACCCAGAUUAUUUUUCAUUCUUGAUUAUUAAUGAGGUUGAAUAUCAGAGCAAACAAAACAAUAUAUUUAAAGGAUUAUUAAUGAUAAUGCAGUCUCUGUAAUUACUACCAACCAUUGCCCAUGAGUCACACAGUGAAAUGAACUCAUCAAUAGCACACACACACACACACACACACAAAUGAGGUUUUUGAAGUUGUCAAUAUAACAUCAUUCAUAAGUGUUAUCUCCAAGCUUCAAGCUUAUUCUUUUAUUCAGAAUUUCCCCAUCUGCACUAGGAGACAGAACUUUGCAAAUCUGUGCCCUGAACACAGCCUCUUAUAGUUGGCCAUCCUGAUGGCAUGGAUUGCUGAACCUGGUUCUCCAUUAUCUGGCAAAUGAACCAUGGGCUUUGUCUCCCAACUGUAAUGUAAUGAUAUUUUUAAGGUUUGCUUCUUUAGAACAUGUUAAUAUUUGCCUGUGAGUUCCUAACUUUAAACAGUUCUGGUUCUGCUGUGGGCUUGUUGUGUGACUAUAGUUGGAUGGUUUUGACCUCUCUCAAAAUAGUUUUAUCUAUCAGUACAAUAGGGAUAACUGUUAAAGCAAACAGCAGGAUGCUUGACUGUAGACUGCAGUAGCAGUAUUUUAGAUCCUAUGUGUAUUGACUCACAUUAAUUUUGACUCUGAAUCACCUACCCUUUACAACCUAUCACCCAGAGGUCCUGAGAGUGACUUAAUUCCACGUAUCUGAAAUUCACAUUUGUUGGUCUAGCAGCAGUGCCUGGAAACUGGAGUAGAAUUACACAAGCAGUGGGGUGUGUAAUGGGUGUGAUCUAACUGGGUAAACAUGGGAAUCCAACUCCCAGGCCCACCCCAUGCCAAUGCUACAAUUUCUGUGCAGGUCCCCAUUCCACUGCUAAGAUGACCAAUCAUGUCUUAAAAAGAUGUCAACGGUGUGAUUUUAGUGAAAGCACUUCACUAAAAAAUGAUAUUCAUGGCAAAGUGUUUUUUAAAAACAAGCAACAAUUGUGCUCUAAUAUUUAAAUUGCUUCUUUGCAGAAAAAACUAAAAUCACUAUAGUAAAAACCUUCAAUGCAUCAGGUAUGACUUAUUAUAAAUAUCAAGACUUUCUUCUUUAUAACUAAGGUAAAAUUAAACAAAUGGCUGGUGUUUAUGAUCUCUUUUUCUUUUUUUAAAAGUAAAAUCUGUUCUUAAUGAAUAGAUGUGUAGGUACUGGGUAUCUGAAGUUGUACUAGACAUUAAGGGCUGUAUAAUAAUGAUCAGGCACAGUGCCCUCUCUCAAGAAUCUUCUAGUCUCAGAGGGAGACAGGUCAAAGAAGCAGGUCACAAAUGUGAACAUGCAUGCAGAUAAAGGCAAUAAUUCCACCAGGAUUUCUCUUUCUCACUCUCUUUUUUCCCCCUUGGUGUUGGAGAUCAAACCCAGGGCUUCUUGCAUGCUAAGCAUGUACUCUACCACUGAACUACACCCACAACCCCACAAGCAUUUCUCAUGAUUAAGAGACAUAGGAGGUAGAAGGACUAGUGGUAAUGAGUUUAUGAACAGGAUGCAAUUAAUGAAAGAGAGGAGUGAACCUCAAAUUCUUUCUAAAGCAAAGCAAGGAUAUACUUUUAAGUACCUAAUACAAGACUAGGC
This 2693-nucleotide long non-coding RNA is filed under the name Marmota monax (woodchuck). The record is from RNAcentral. Lineage: Eukaryota; Metazoa; Chordata; Mammalia; Rodentia; Sciuridae.